Molecule: transfer RNA, 73 nt
Filed under: Caudoviricetes sp.
Lineage: Duplodnaviria; Heunggongvirae; Uroviricota; Caudoviricetes
Description: tRNA-Lys
Rfam family: tRNA
About the family: Transfer RNA (tRNA) molecules are approximately 80 nucleotides in length.
Source: RNAcentral
GCGAUCGUAGCUCAGUCGGUAGAGCACCUGACUUUUAAUCAGGGUGGCGUGGAUUCGAGUUCCGCCGGUCGCA